CAGCCGCCGCGGGAAUACGAAGGGGGCUAGCGUUGUUCGGAUUUACUGGGCGUAAAGCGCGCGCAGGUGGUUUAAUAAGUCUGAUGUGAAAGCCCACGGCUCAACCGUGGAGGGUCGUUGGAAACUGCUAAACUUGAGUGCAGGAGAGAAAAGUGGAAUUCCUAGUGUAGCGGUGAAAUGCGUAGAGAUUAGGAGGAACACCAGUGGCGAAGGCGGCUUUUUGGCCUGUAACUGACACUGAGGCGCGAAAGCGUGGGGAGCAAACAGGAUUAGAUACCCCUGUAGUCCCUGUCUCUUAUAC
This 301-nucleotide ribosomal RNA is filed under the name uncultured bacterium. RNAcentral's name for it is "partial 16S ribosomal RNA". It matches the Rfam family "Bacterial small subunit ribosomal RNA", at positions 509 to 807 of the family's 1533-position model. The record is from RNAcentral.